Molecule: small nuclear RNA, 96 nt
Organism: Sarcophilus harrisii (Tasmanian devil)
Lineage: Eukaryota; Metazoa; Chordata; Mammalia; Dasyuromorphia; Dasyuridae
Source: Ensembl
GUGCUUGCUUCGGCAGCACAUAUACUAAAAUUGGAACGAUACAGAGAAGAUUAGCAUGGCCCCUGCGCAAGAAUGAUACUUAGGCCCCUUUUCUUU